CGGGUAGAGAUCUUUCGGGAUCUUGAGAGCGGCGUACGGGUGCGGAACACGUGUGCAACCUGCCUUUAUCUGGGGGAUAGCCUUUCGAAAGGAAGAUUAAUACCCCAUAAUAUAUUGAAUGGCAUCAUUUGAUAUUGAAAACUCCGGUGGAUAGAGAUGGGCACGCGCAAGAUUAGAUAGUUGGUGAGGUAACGGCUCACCAAGUCAGCGAUCUUUAGGGGGCCUGAGAGGGUGAUCCCCCACACUGGUACUGAGACACGGACCAGACUCCUACGGGAGGCAGCAGUGAGGAAUAUUGGACAAUGGGUGAGAGCCUGAUCCAGCCAUCCCGCGUGAAGGACGACGGCCCUAUGGGUUGUAAACUUCUUUUGUAUAGGGAUAAACCUACCCUCGUGAGGGUAGCUGAAGGUACUAUACGAAUAAGCACCGGCUAACUCCGUGCCAGCAGCCGCGGUAAUACGGAGGGUGCAAGCGUUAUCCGGAUUUAUUGGGUUUAAAGGGUCCGUAGGCUGAUUUGUAAGUCAGUGGUGAAAUCUCACAGCUUAACUGUGAAACUGCCAUUGAUACUGCAAGUCUUGAGUGUUGUUGAAGUAGCUGGAAUAAGUAGUGUAGCGGUGAAAUGCAUAGAUAUUACUUAGAACACCAAUUGCGAAGGCAGGUUACUAAGCAACAACUGACGCUGAUGGACGAAAGCGUGGGGAGCGAACAGGAUUAGAUACCCUGGUAGUCCACGCCGUAAACGAUGCUAACUCGUUUUUGGGCUUUUGGGUUCAGAGACUAAGCGAAAGUGAUAAGUUAGCCACCUGGGGAGUACGAACGCAAGUUUGAAACUCAAAGGAAUUGACGGGGGCCCGCACAAGCGGUGGAUUAUGUGGUUUAAUUCGAUGAUACGCGAGGAACCUUACCAAGGCUUAAAUGGGAAAUGACAGGCUUAGAAAUAGGCUUUUCUUCGGACAUUUUUCAAGGUGCUGCAUGGUUGUCGUCAGCUCGUGCCGUGAGGUGUUAGGUUAAGUCCUGCAACGAGCGCAACCCCUGUCACUAGUUGCCAUCAUUAAGUUGGGGACUCUAGUGAGACUGCCUACGCAAGUAGAGAGGAAGGUGGGGAUGACGUCAAAUCAUCACGGCCCUUACGCCUUGGGCCACACACGUAAUACAAUGGCCGGUACAGAGGGCAGCUACACUGCGAAGUGAUGCAAAUCUCGAAAGCCGGUCUCAGUUCGGAUUGGAGUCUGCAACUCGACUCUAUGAAGCUGGAAUCGCUAGUAAUCGCGCAUCAGCCAUGGCGCGGUGAAUACGUUCCCGGGCCUUGUACACACCGCCCGUCAAGCCAUGGAAGUCUGGGGUACCUGAAGUCGG
This 1356-nucleotide ribosomal RNA is filed under the name Chryseobacterium gleum. RNAcentral's name for it is "bacterial SSU rRNA". It matches the Rfam family "Bacterial small subunit ribosomal RNA", at positions 67 to 1430 of the family's 1533-position model. Lineage: Bacteria; Pseudomonadati; Bacteroidota; Flavobacteriia; Flavobacteriales; Weeksellaceae. The record is from RNAcentral.